GUUCCUGGGUACUGGCGGUGAAGUAGGCCUGCUGCUGCUCCUCAAGCCCAUCCUCUACCAGCGCUGCCUCCUGUACUUAGACGCCCUUAGCCUUCCCGCCUGGACUGCCUCCCGAGGCUGUAGGAUGAGUGUGGCGUGGAGGAGCCCGGCCUCCAAGCCGGCUGAGGCCAAUGUCCCGAGGGGCACGUGGGCCGCUUGCGCAGGAAGAGGGGCCGGAGACCUCGAGGGCCGCGCCCUUUCCCCCCGGCCCUCGGCUUGCGCAGCGGGGAGCUGGGGUAUGAUGGCUGUUCCAGGUGAAGACAGCCAGAUGGUUUAAAUUGCUUUCUGGUGAGCGAGGACUCAAGCCAUGGCAGUGAUGGAACACAACCACCUCAGGACGUGGUUGCCACCACAUUUCCUGGCAGGGUCUGGCACUGAAAAAGCUCAAGACAUCAGCUUGUUGCUGCCCCUGUGCUUUAGAAUAAGAUCUGUCAUCAAUAAGCUGUCUUCAUCUAUGAUUAAUGAUCUACAGAGUUGGGAGAGAAGCUGUAUGAGAAGAAGCUAAGAGACAGGUGUGUGAGGGAGAGACUGGCUUCCUUGAACUAGAUCCAGGCCAGAAGAGAGAAUAAGUAACAGUAAAUCCCCUCAGACCACCUCCCAUGCCCCAUCGCCCGCGGCUGGUUCUUGAAACCACCUUUGCCCACCCCUUAUCUGGGGCUGGUCCCUACCUGCCUUGCCCUGCAGGGUGGAGGAUUGUCUUAAUAAACUCUUAAUGUAAUGAAA
Long non-coding RNA from Pteronotus mesoamericanus, 762 nucleotides. RefSeq lists it as uncharacterized. The record is from RefSeq and is a predicted model, not a curated record. Lineage: Eukaryota; Metazoa; Chordata; Mammalia; Chiroptera; Mormoopidae. The transcript is spliced from 5 exons.